GCGACCCCAGGUUGGGC
Molecule: ribosomal RNA, 17 nt
Filed under: Dendrobium anceps
Lineage: Eukaryota; Viridiplantae; Streptophyta; Magnoliopsida; Asparagales; Orchidaceae
Description: partial 26S ribosomal RNA
Source: RNAcentral